GAGUUUGAUCAUGGCUCAGAUUGAACGCUGGCGGCAUGCCUUACACAUGCAAGUCGAACGGCAGCAUGAUCUAGCUUGCUAGAUUGAUGGCGAGUGGCGAACGGGUGAGUAAUACAUCGGAACGUGCCCUGUAGUGGGGGAUAACUAGUCGAAAGAUUAGCUAAUACCGCAUACGACCUGAGGGKGAAAGUGGGGGACCGCAAGGCCUCAUGCUAUAGGAGCGGCCGAUGUCUGAUUAGCUAGUUGGUGGGGUAAAGGCCCACCAAGGCGACGAUCAGUAGCUGGUYUGAGAGGACGAUCAGCCACACUGGGACUGAGACACGGCCCAGACUCCUACGGGAGGCAGCAGUGGGGAAUUUUGGACAAUGGGCGAAAGCCUGAUCCAGCAAUGCCGCGUGUGUGAAGAAGGCCUUCGGGUUGUAAAGCACUUUUGUCCGGAAAGAAAUGGCUCUGGUUAAUACCUGGGGUCGAUGACGUACCGAGAUAAGUUKGAC
Molecule: ribosomal RNA, 494 nt
Filed under: uncultured beta proteobacterium
Lineage: Bacteria; Pseudomonadati; Pseudomonadota; Betaproteobacteria
Description: bacterial SSU rRNA
Source: RNAcentral